Molecule: ribosomal RNA, 375 nt
Filed under: uncultured bacterium
Lineage: Bacteria
Description: partial 16S ribosomal RNA
Rfam family: Bacterial small subunit ribosomal RNA
Source: RNAcentral
CCUACGGGGGGCAGCAGUGAGGAAUAUUGGUCAAUGGGCGAAAGCCUGAACCAGCCAAGUCGCGUGAGGGAAGACGGUCCUACGGAUUGUAAACCUCUUUUGUCAGGGAGCAAGGAGCGCCACGAGGGGUGCGGCGAGAGUACCUGAAGUAAAAGCAUCGGCUAACUCCGUGCCAGCAGCCGCGGUAAUACGGAGGAUGCGAGCGUUAGCCGGAUUUAUUGGGUUUAAAGGGUGCGCAGGCGGAAGCGGCAAGUCAGCGGUAAAAUUGCGGGGCUCAACCUCGCGGGGCCGUUGAAACUGGUCGUCUAGAGUGGGCGAGAGGUGUGUGGAAUGCGGGGUGUAGCGGUGAAAUGCAUAGAUAUCAGGAAGAACUCC